RNAcentral lists this ribosomal RNA (109 nucleotides) under pig gut metagenome. The record is from RNAcentral.
GUGUUUAUGACGCUGAGGUUCCACCUGUUCCCAUCCCGAACACAGUAGUUAAGCUCAGUAGUGCCGAAGAUACUUGGCGGGCAGCUGCCCGGGAAAAUAGGACGACGCC